CAGCAGCCACGGGAAUACGGAGGGGGCUAGCGUUGUUCGGAAUUACUGGGCGUAAAGCGCACGUAGGCGGCUUGGUAAGUUAGAGGUGAAAGCCUGGAGCUCAACUCCAGAAUUGCCUUUAAGACUGCCGAGCUAGCAGGUGAGAGAGGUAAGUGGAAUUCCGAGUGUAGAGGUGAAAUUCGUAGAUAUUCGGAAGAACACCAGUGGCGAAGGCGGCUUACUGGCUCAUACUGGACGCUGAGGUGCGAAAGCGUGGGGAGCAAACAGGAUUAGAUACCCCAGUAGUCCCUGUCUCUUAUAC
Molecule: ribosomal RNA, 301 nt
Filed under: uncultured bacterium
Lineage: Bacteria
Description: partial 16S ribosomal RNA
Rfam family: Bacterial small subunit ribosomal RNA
Source: RNAcentral